UUUUCUCUCUUUAUCAGCUAUGAUUAGAUUUGGGUGUGGAGAUGAUUCCAAGACUUUCCAGGACAACCUCUGCCCCAGAACACGUGGAGGAGUGUUGCAGUAUAAAUUACAGUAGGCAGCUCUUCAAGCCAUUUCAAAGCCUUUUGAUAAAAGAACAACAUAACAAAAGCUUCACAGGUCUGUGGCGAUGCCUCUGUGAGGACGUCAUGAAAAACAGAUCUGCUGGUACUAAUGGAUGGCGAAGGAGUUCCUGCUGCCAGGGGCAGGACAUCUGACCAAGUGCCAAUCAAAGGAUGACCUCAGCACUUAUAGGAGUCAUCACCUUUGUUUUGCGCUGGUGCCCAGAUGAGCAGAAACCUAUUCCUGUAAUGCUAAUGCUGUAAUGCUAAUGCUGUAAUGCUAAUGCUGUAAUGCGCUGAAGUCUUGAAAGUGUGAAGAAGCUCUUGAAAUAUAUGAUGAUGUAUGAUGCACGUUGUGCAAAAAAAGUGACGUUGUAGAAAUGGAACAUUUCUGUAACUUGGUUUACUUGGUUGGGGGACCAAUAGUUUAAAACAUACCCCAUCAAAUUUAAAAAAUAAAUAAAUGUUAAAAUUGAAGAAUAAUAAGCAAAUCUGUAACUUAAUAUAAUAUUGUAUCCAGGGUGCAAAUGACACAGUGACUUUUGGGUUAGUGUCUGAUCAAUUGUAUUAAGUGUAAAUGACUAUCUGGACUAUAAAACAACAUAAAUUGCACAACAAUGUAACCUAACCCCGUUAUCUUGUUCUC
Xyrauchen texanus (razorback sucker) is the source of this 765-nucleotide long non-coding RNA. RefSeq lists it as uncharacterized. Lineage: Eukaryota; Metazoa; Chordata; Actinopteri; Cypriniformes; Catostomidae. The transcript is spliced from 3 exons. The record is from RefSeq and is a predicted model, not a curated record.